Molecule: ribosomal RNA, 198 nt
Filed under: uncultured bacterium
Lineage: Bacteria
Description: partial 16S ribosomal RNA
Rfam family: Bacterial small subunit ribosomal RNA
Source: RNAcentral
CGGAUUGUAGUCUGCAACCCGGCUACAUGAAGCUGGAAUCGCUAGUAAUCGCGGAUCAGAAUGCCGCGGUGAAUACGUUCCCGGGUCUUGUACACACCGCCCGUCACACCAUGGGAGUCGGAAAUGCCCGAAGUAUGCAACCGCAAGGAGCGUCCUAAGGUAAAACCGGUGACUGGGGCUAAGUCGUAACAAGGUACC